ACGAACGCUGGCGGCGUGCUUAACCCAUGCAAGUCGAACGGAAAGGCCCUGCUUUUGUGGGGUGCUCGAGUGGCGAACGGGUGAGUAACACGUGAGUAACCUGCCCUUGACUUUGGGAUAACUUCAGGAAACUGGGGCUAAUACCGGAUAGGAGCUCCUGCUGCAUGGUGGGGGUUGGAAAGUUUCGGCGGUUGGGGAUGGACUCGCGGCUUAUCAGCUUGUUGGGGGGGUAGUGGCUUACCAAGGCUUUGACGGGUAGCCGGCCUGAGAGGGUGACCGGCGACAUUGGGACUGAGAUACGGCCCAGACUCCAACGGGAGGCAGCAGUGGGGAAUAUUGCACAAUGGGCGGAAGCCUGAUGCAGCAACGCCGCGUGCGGGAUGACGGCCUUCGGGUUGUAAACCGCUUUCGCCUGUGACGAAGCGUGAGUGACGGUAAUGGGUAAAGAAGCACCGGCUAACUACGUG
This 467-nucleotide ribosomal RNA is filed under the name uncultured bacterium. Its description in RNAcentral is "partial 16S ribosomal RNA". It matches the Rfam family "Bacterial small subunit ribosomal RNA", at positions 29 to 507 of the family's 1533-position model. The record is from RNAcentral.